This is a long non-coding RNA of Alligator sinensis (Chinese alligator), 432 nucleotides long. RefSeq lists it as uncharacterized. Lineage: Eukaryota; Metazoa; Chordata; Crocodylia; Alligatoridae. The transcript has 3 exons. The record is from RefSeq and is a predicted model, not a curated record.
GCUGGCAGACUAGGCAGCAAUAUUACCUGGUUAUGAGGCUUUAUGCAUAAUCCUGGAGCUAACCCAGAAGAAUGAACAGGCUGGCACACGAUCUUCACAGUCUGGGUACUAGAAUGAGAGAGAGAAUAAUACAGACACCCGAUGAGCUAUAAAUCAAGGCAACAGAAAUCUGCAGGAACUAUGGAGUUACCAUCAUCCACAGAAUAUUUAGAGAUUGUCCAGGAUACCAGAUACACUCUGAAAGUUCUGUGCCGCCUCUAAGUCUGGAAGCUUGGUCACUUUGUUAGACCUUUAUUACCUGAGUUUUUCAAUUAUGUUUGUAAGUCUGCUAAUGAAUUCCACACUUGAGAUGAAUCAAGUUCAAGCAUGACUCUUGAAAGUGCAUUUACAAACAGGUUUGGUCCAAAAUCUGUUGGUCAAUAAAUUUUGUUA